Molecule: transfer RNA, 72 nt
Filed under: Clavelina oblonga
Lineage: Eukaryota; Metazoa; Chordata; Ascidiacea; Aplousobranchia; Clavelinidae
Description: transfer RNA-Ile
Source: RNAcentral
UACACAAUGUCGGAAAAACGAAUAUUUUUGAUAAAAAUAAACAUGAAAGUAAUAUAGUUCUUUCUUGUGUAA